UAAGGAAUAUUGGUCAAUGGACGCAAGUCUGAACCAGCCAUGCCGCGUGAAGGAUGAAGGUCCUCUGGAUUGUAAACUUCUUUUAUCUGGGACGAAAACGGGAUUUUUAUCUCAAUUGACGGUACCAGAGGAAUAAGCACCGGCUAACUCCGUGCCAGCAGCCGCGGUAAUACGGAGGGUGCGAGCGUUAUCCGGAUUUACUGGGUUUAAAGGGUGCGUAGGUGGGCUUAUAAGUCAGUGGUGAAAUCUCCGAGCUUAACUUGGAAACUGCCGUUGAUACUAUAGGUCUUGAAUUAUCUGGAGGCAAGCGGAAUAUGUUAUGUAGCGGUGAAAUGCUUAGAUAUGACAUAGAACACCAAUUGCGAAGGCAGCUUACUACAUAUAAAUUGACGCUGAGGCACGAAAGCGUGGGGAUCAAACA
This 421-nucleotide ribosomal RNA is filed under the name uncultured bacterium. Its description in RNAcentral is "bacterial SSU rRNA". It matches the Rfam family "Bacterial small subunit ribosomal RNA", at positions 355 to 774 of the family's 1533-position model. The record is from RNAcentral.